Molecule: unclassified non-coding RNA, 256 nt
Filed under: fungal sp.
Lineage: Eukaryota; Fungi
Description: partial internal transcribed spacer region
Rfam family: Eukaryotic small subunit ribosomal RNA (bases 1-46)
Source: RNAcentral
AAGUCGUAACAAGGUUUCCGUAGGUGAACCUGCGGAAGGAUCAUUACCAAAUCCAAAUCUUAACCCCUUGUGAACAUGUUAAUUUGUUUUUGUCAACUAAUGGGAAAGGAGUCGACUCAUUGUUUCUUGCAAUGUGUCUGAUUUUUCUUCUCCUUCUUGGCAAUUACUUACUAAACUACUUUAAAUUAUUUUGUUGGAAUCACUUUUAUUAAUACUAAUAAAAGACAACUUUUAACGGUGGAUCUCUUGGCUCGUG